GAUGAACGCUGGCGGCAUGCCUAACACAUGCAAGUCGAGCGAACACACGAGGAGCUUUCUCCUCUGACGUUAGCGGCGGACGGGUGAGUAACACGUGGAUAACCUACCUCUCAGACUGGGGUAACUUCGGGAAACCAGAGCUAAUAACGGAUAAUAUAUUGACCCGCAUGGUUCCAUAGUGCAAGUCGCUUUUGCUGUCCCUUAUAGCUGGCUCCGCGCCGCAUUCGCUUGUUGGUAAGGUAACGGCUCACCCAGGCUACGAGGCGUAGCCGACCUGAGGGGGUGAUCACCCACACGGGAACUGAGACACGGCCCAGACUCCGACGGGGAGCAGCGGUAGGGAAUCUUCCGCAAGGGGCGAAUGCCUGACGGAGCAACGCCGCGUGAGUGAUGAAGGACUUCGGAUCGUAAAGUGCUGUUAUUAGUGAAGAAGAAAUGUUUAAGUAACUAUGCACGUCUUGACGGUACCGAAACAAAAAGCCACGGCUAACUACGUG
This 497-nucleotide ribosomal RNA is filed under the name uncultured bacterium. RNAcentral describes it as "partial 16S ribosomal RNA". It matches the Rfam family "Bacterial small subunit ribosomal RNA", at positions 28 to 507 of the family's 1533-position model. The record is from RNAcentral.